GUUGGAAGCAGGACCCCGAGCUGACCUGUUGACCAGGAGAGGAGUGCUUUUACUCCCCGUCAUCACCACCGCCUGCCAGAGGCAGUAAACUUGGGUCCAGCGGGCCCCUGUCAAGCUGCAUAACCACACAGUGAGAGGCUGUCUAGAGAAAGGCGUUUGUUCAGGAGCAGAGCGUUGCAACGGUAACACGCAUGUCAUAGUAAACUGUGCAUAUUCGAGGAGGCAGAGGAAGAAAGGAAGAGGAAGGUUUUCAAAGAGAAAGCAGCAGUGAGGAUGCCAGAGUUCAUGGGUUUCUAGAAGACAAGUUUUCAACUGCAGAUACAAACAUCAGGACGUCAAUGUAUCUGCUAGGAGACACCCGGACAGUGUUGAGAACACAGAACCUGGAGGCUAAACCCCCAGCUUUCUAUGCCAGCUGAGAGUCUGUGGGCACAUUACUCAGCGUCUCUGAACCUCAUGCUCCUCCCCUGUGACAUGUAGAUUGCUAAACCCAUCUCACAGGGCUAUCUUCUGCAUUUAAAGAAUAAAAUAACACAUGAGGGGUCUAUCAAUGUUUCUGACCUAUUUAUUUAUUGUUAAUCCUUUCUCUACACCGAAUACUCUAACUAACCUUUUGGAUUCUCACUUAAUGAGAAAAAGCAAAAUUAACUUGAGCA
This 656-nucleotide long non-coding RNA is filed under the name Homo sapiens (human). RNAcentral's name for it is "HSALNT0305281". The record is from RNAcentral. Lineage: Eukaryota; Metazoa; Chordata; Mammalia; Primates; Hominidae.